Long non-coding RNA from Passer domesticus (house sparrow), 385 nucleotides. RefSeq lists it as uncharacterized. The record is from RefSeq and is a predicted model, not a curated record. NCBI's taxonomy places the organism in Eukaryota, Metazoa, Chordata, Aves, Passeriformes, Passeridae. The transcript is spliced from 4 exons.
AUAGAUAACAUCUGCACAUUAGUCUAAACUUGUCAGUGGGCUUGUGAAAUUAAUUUCUUUCAUGACAAGCAUGCCUGAUUCACAUACAUCUGUAAAGAUUUCUCUCUUUUCCCUAAUCCACCACCAAAGCUACAAUGUCAACUCUGAAGAAUAAGAAAACCAGAGCCUGUUUCGAAGCUGGAGCUAAAUACAAGUUUAUAUGACCCAAAUAAUUAAGACACCGGGCAGUAUCACACUGAAAUAAAGGAUGAAGAAAUAACUUGGAGGAAGAAUGAACAAAAUAAACCUCCAGCAGAUCUCGGCCUCUUCUGCAGAUCAAGCCCUCGUUCCUGAGCCAGCAUCCCACUAAGUGACAACAACUUUGCACAUUAAAUGUGUGAUCUCC